GUUUUCGUAGUUGAACUACAACAACAGUUUUUCAGGCUGUUAGUCUGGGUUAAACCCCCAGCGGAAAUAA
RNAcentral lists this transfer RNA (70 nucleotides) under Crinia signifera. Its description in RNAcentral is "tRNA-Glu". It matches the Rfam family "tRNA". Rfam says of the family: Transfer RNA (tRNA) molecules are approximately 80 nucleotides in length. Their secondary structure includes four short double-helical elements and three loops (D, anti-codon, and T loops). Lineage: Eukaryota; Metazoa; Chordata; Amphibia; Anura; Myobatrachidae. The record is from RNAcentral.